Molecule: ribosomal RNA, 1000 nt
Filed under: uncultured organism
Description: bacterial SSU rRNA
Rfam family: Bacterial small subunit ribosomal RNA
Source: RNAcentral
UGGGGGAUAUUGCGCAAUGGGGGCAACCCUGACGCAGCAACGCCGCGUGAAGGAUGAAGGUUUUCGGAUUGUAAACUUCUUUUAUUAAGGACGAAACUUGACGGUACUUAAUGAAUAAGCUCCGGCUAACUACGUGCCAGCAGCCGCGGUAAUACGUAGGGAGCAAGCGUUGUCCGGAUUUACUGGGUGUAAAGGGUGCGUAGGCGGCUUUGCAAGUCAGAUGUGAAAUCUAUGGGCUCAACCCAUAAACUGCAUUUGAAACUGUAGAGCUUGAGUGAAGUAGAGGCAGGCGGAAUUCCCCGUGUAGCGGUGAAAUGCGUAGAGAUGGGGAGGAACACCAGUGGCGAAGGCGGCCUGCUGGGCUUUAACUGACGCUGAGGCACGAAAGCGUGGGUAGCAAACAGGAUUAGAUACCCUGGUAGUCCACGCUGUAAACGAUGAUUACUAGGUGUGGGGGGUCUGACCCCUUCCGUGCCGGAGUUAACACAAUAAGUAAUCCACCUGGGGAGUACGGCCGCAAGGUUGAAACUCAAAGGAAUUGACGGGGGCCCGCACAAGCAGUGGAGUAUGUGGUUUAAUUCGAAGCAACGCGAAGAACCUUACCAGGUCUUGACAUCCAACUAACGAAGUAGAGAUACAUUAGGUGCCCUUCGGGGAAAGUUGAGACAGGUGGUGCAUGGUUGUCGUCAGCUCGUGUCGUGAGAUGUUGGGUUAAGUCCCGCAACGAGCGCAACCCUUGCUAUUAGUUGCUACGCAAGAGCACUCUAAUAGGACUGCCGUUGACAAAACGGAGGAAGGUGGGGACGACGUCAAAUCAUCAUGCCCCUUAUGACCUGGGCCACACACGUACUACAAUGGAUGUUAACAGAGGGAAGCAAGACAGCGAUGUGGAGCAAACCCCUAAAAACAUUCUCAGUUCAGAUUGCAGGCUGCAACCCGCCUGCAUGAAGAUGGAAUUGCUAGUAAUCGCGGAUCAGCAUGCCGCGGUGAAUACGUUCCC